RNAcentral lists this unclassified non-coding RNA (253 nucleotides) under uncultured Enterobacteriaceae bacterium. RNAcentral's name for it is "contains 16S-23S intergenic spacer region". It matches the Rfam family "Bacterial small subunit ribosomal RNA", at positions 524 to 776 of the family's 1533-position model. The record is from RNAcentral. Lineage: Bacteria; Pseudomonadati; Pseudomonadota; Gammaproteobacteria; Enterobacterales; Enterobacteriaceae.
UACGGAGGGUGCAAGCGUUACUCGGAAUUACUGGGCGUAAAGCGCACGCAGGCGGUCUGUCAAGUCGGAUGUGAAAUCCCCGGGCUCAACCUGGGAACUGCAUCCGAAACUGGCAGGCUAGAGUCUUGUAGAGGGGGGUAGAAUUCCAGGUGUAGCGGUGAAAUGCGUAGAGAUGGGGGAGAACACUUGUGGCGAAGGCGGCCCCCUGGACAAAGACUGACGCUCAGGUGCGAAAGCGUGGGGAGCAAACAGG